RNAcentral lists this ribosomal RNA (255 nucleotides) under uncultured bacterium. RNAcentral describes it as "partial 16S ribosomal RNA". It matches the Rfam family "Bacterial small subunit ribosomal RNA", at positions 524 to 776 of the family's 1533-position model. The record is from RNAcentral.
UACAGAGGGGGCCAGCGUUAUUCGGAAUUAUUGGGCGUAAAGGGCGCGUAGGCGGCCAUGCGUGUCUUCCGUGAAAUCCCCUCGGCUUAACCGAGGACGUGCGGAAGAAACUGCAAGGCUCGAGUCCCGGAAGAGGGGGGCGGAAUUCCCAGUGUAGCGGUGAAAUGCGUAGAUAUUGGGAGGAACACCAGUGGCGAAGGCGGUCCCCUGGGCCGGAACUGACGCUGAGGCGCGAAAGCGUGGGUAGCAAACGGG